RNAcentral lists this ribosomal RNA (301 nucleotides) under uncultured bacterium. RNAcentral describes it as "partial 16S ribosomal RNA". It matches the Rfam family "Bacterial small subunit ribosomal RNA", at positions 509 to 807 of the family's 1533-position model. The record is from RNAcentral.
CAGUAGCCGCGGUAAUACGUAGGGUGCGAGCGUUAAUCGGAAUUACUGGGCGUAAAGCGUGCGCAGGCGGUUGUGUAAGACAGGUGUGAAAUCCCCGGGCUUAACCUGGGAACUGCGCUUGUGACUGCACAGCUAGAGAAUGGCAGAGGGGGGUGGAAUUCCACGUGUAGCAGUGAAAUGCGUAGAGAUGUGGAGGAACACCGAUGGCGAAGGCAGCCCCCUGGGCCAAUACUGACGCUCAUGCACGAAAGCGUGGGGAGCAAACAGGAUUAGAUACCCCUGUAGUCCCUGUCUCUUAUAC